CCCAAAUUUAUUGAACUUCUUCAAUUGAGGGGUUCAUUAGGGUUCCGUUGAAUUAUAUUUUCCCCUCUGUUUGAGUGUGUGUUUCACUUGGGAUACUGAACAUGCUCUAACUUUUUCUUUUCCAAAUUUUCUUUUGCUCCUUUUAGGUUGUUGCAAUUUCUGCGUUUUUCUUUCUUCAGUUUUUUCAGCUUUUGUUAGUCUGACAACCGAAUCAAUGUCUCCUUUUCUCAGGUGUUGUGCCUGGAAUUUUCUGG
Molecule: unclassified non-coding RNA, 254 nt
Filed under: Hevea brasiliensis (rubber tree)
Lineage: Eukaryota; Viridiplantae; Streptophyta; Magnoliopsida; Malpighiales; Euphorbiaceae
Source: RNAcentral